This 402-nucleotide ribosomal RNA is filed under the name uncultured bacterium. Its description in RNAcentral is "bacterial SSU rRNA". It matches the Rfam family "Bacterial small subunit ribosomal RNA", at positions 357 to 758 of the family's 1533-position model. The record is from RNAcentral.
GCCAAUUGACGUGGGGGAACCUGACCGCGAUGCCGCGUGUGCGAAGAAGGCCUGCGGGUUGUAAAGCACUUUAGUUGGGGAAGAAAGUUCAAGAGUCGAAUAGGCUUUUGAUUUGACGUUACCCAAAGAAUAAGCACCGGCUAACUCUGUGCCAGCAGCCGCGGUAAUACAGAGGGUGCGAGCGUUAAUCGGAAUUACUGGGCGUAAAGGGCGCGUAGGCGGUUAUGUAAGUUAGAUGUGAAAUCCCCGGGCUUAACCUGGGAAUGGCAUUUAAUACUGUAUGACUAGAGUAGAGUAGAGGGAAGUGGAAUUUCCGGUGUAGCGGUGAAAUGCGUAGAUAUCGGAAAGAACACCAGUGGCGAAGGCGGCUUCCUGGACUCAUACUGACGUUGAGGCGCGAAA